CUGAGACCUUCUCCCACUUCUCCAGGUGGGCAGCCUACCAUGAGGGGGAGAGCCAGCUGAGCACAUCAGGACGUCUGGAUUUGGCCAGAAGACCGGACCUCUCCCCCUGUCAGGACUUCUCAGAGACAGCUCAGCUGGGGAGUUGAAGGCACACACACAACAGCUCAAGAACUGAAUUAUCCUUUGGCUGAAUGGAGAGGGGCGAAAGCAGAGGGCGGCCCAAGUGACAGCAUCUUCGGGAGAGAGGUGACCUCGAUUAUGUGGAAAUUAACGCGGUGACCUGAGGACAGAGGAUGUCCACUGGGGAGGCAGUUGGGCUGGGCGAUGGAUGGAUGGAAUGGAGCUGGAGGUGCAGGAGAAGGGCCAGUGCUGUCUUGGCUGGGGAUGCUGGAGGAAGGGGUGGGGGAGACAGAGGCCUGGACCUGGGGAUAUGGGGCUUUUUUGGGAACCUGAAUCCCAGCCUUCUUUCUCCAAGGCUCAGGUCCGCAUCACCCUGCCUGCCUUGCCUUUUCACUGCCUGCUCUUUAUUUCUUAUUUAAAAAAAAAUUUUUUUAGGGCUGCACCUGCAGCAUAUGGAAAGUCCCAGGCCAGGGGCGGAAUCCAAGCCGCAGUUGCAACCUAUGCUGCAGGUGCAGCAACACCAGAUCCUUACCCACUGUGCCAGGCCUGGGAUUGAACCCCAGCCUUCCCCGCCACCGAGCCACUGCAGUCAGAUUCUCAGCCCACUGCCUGCACUUUAAAAGGGCCUCCUUAAGAACUCUUAUUGAAUCCGUACCCUAUCCCAGUACUACCAAAAUACCUUCCUGUCAUUCCAGGAGUGUGUUGCUAAUUUAUUACUGACAUGUCUUUGCUGAGACAGAGGGAGGUCUGCAGCUGGCUCAUCGAUGCCGUGAGGAAAGAGGACCUGUGACAGUUGACAUUGAAGCUGCUGCUCCUCUUCUUCACAGGCCUUGGACACCAAGUGUGUCUGUGUAUUUGUGUGGGUGCACGCAUGCGUGCGUGUGUGUGUGUGUGUGUGCACGUGAGCGUGCCUGCGCCUGUCUGCAUGAGUGGGUGUUUUGCCUCAAUUUAAUGUUUAGGGUUUUUGCAUCUUUCUUUGCAGAAUACGGGUGGUCCAGAGAUAUAUAGAGUUUCCCCAGGUAUGAGGAAAACACGAAAGCACCCUGGAAAAAAUGCACUGCAAGGCCAAGCGGAGCUGUGCAUUCUUUCCCGAAUCUGCCCACACCCACCUCCGAGGACGUUCUGUUUGGGAAUCUGUCUCCAGCAAAUUCCGAGAACUGAAACAGCUUCAUAAUCACAAACGAUUCAUGUUGAAGCAGCCAAAAUACCAGAAAUUGACAUUCCAGCACAGGCAAAGAUAUUUUUAAAUGUUUAGGAUUUAUAAAGAGAAACAGCCUUCGUAGAACAUAAACCACCCCCGGUUCACACUUGUGUGAUAGAGGCAGCUAAAUCUGAAAGAUAAGUUUCUUUCUUUCUUUCUUUCCCCAAGUGAAGAAUGUCAUGGGUGAGAAAAGAAGUCUGCUGUGAAGAAACUUUAACUGGGCCUUGGCUUUGGUUCAGGACUGGGACUGGGCGGCCUUCGGAGAGCUGCAGCCGGCGAGGCUGCACUCAGCCCUGCUCUUGGCUAGUGAAGCUUUAAGGCAAAGGUCAUCUAAAACUCUAACUAGAAUCGAAAAUAUCAAUACCCUGCUUGAGAUCUCAUGGUCUCAGAACGGCUGAGCUGGUGUCCCGAGCAGUAUUUUUAGAAACAGAAACGCUUAAGGAUGCUGUUCGGAGAUGCUCUGGUCCAAGGUCUUAUGAACACAAAUCACAACCACCACCUUUUCCACGCUCAUCUCAGUUGUAGUUUCUUUGUGGGUUUUUGUUGUUGUUGUUGCUGUCGUCGGGUUGUUGUUGUUUGUUUUCGGAGCUAUAUGUGCUGUCUUCUGGGCGAUGCUGUCCAGUCAGUGCUUCCUGGGUGAGUCUCCGUAAGUGUUCUUGGUGUUUCUACUUCUCAGACUCCAGCAGUGGAGGUGGGGACCGCUGGUCGCAGAGAAACUGGACAGUGGGUUUCUCUGGGCGGGCCAAGCGGCAGACACCUAACGAGCACCUGUUGGGUGCAAGGUCAUGUGCUUGGGAAGGAUGGAAGGGGAGACUCGGGGUGUGAUUCUGCUCACAGGGUGCGACUCUGCUCUCUGUUUUCCUUGGACUCUAAUGUCAACGAGCAGAAUAUAUGGAAUUCCAGUUCCCCAAACUCGAGCCCAGGACAGAGCAGAGCUGAGACUGUGAGAAACAGGCCCUGAGGACCAGAUGUCCUCCCAGCUGGGACGUGAUGGAGUGGAGGAGGGAAAGGGACAGACGUGGGGCCGCGUCCGGGGCCACUCAGAUUGGGUUCCACUGUCCUGUGGCGGGUGGGGAACCGUUACGGUUUGUGAAGAGUAGUGACAGGAUUUUUUGAAACAGGGAUUAGGACAGAUGCAUUGGGCACUGUUGUGCUUCGAAUGCAAAGACAAGACUGAAGGUAGGAAACACCCUCCAAAGGGAAAGUUUGAUCAUGUGGCUGAACAAAAAUUAAUGGGAUUCCCCCCGCCCCCGAUUUAAACAAUGCAGUACUUUUUGGGAUUAUUCUCCAAGGCCUAACAACAGCACCUCGUGAACACAUGCAAACGCAUUUACCAAAGAAAUAUCGUGCCUUCUGUUGUACUUAUUACUUUAGUUACAUUUAACUUUGCUUGAUUAAUAUCAGGGAGAAAGCCGUUGGUAUCUGGUUGUAUCGUUUAUUAUAAAUUGGAUCACGUAGUUGAAUUAGCUCAGUUUCAUUUUAAUCCUGACUUUACUUAUUUCAUUACUGAUUUUAUGACUGUAUUGCAUAAUUUAUUUAUCAAUGUUUUAAAAAGUAUCUCUAUCUACCAACAUCUUUACUUGAAUAUAAAAGGAAACUAAAACCUUUUCUAAUAAAAAGGAAUUCUGAUUGGCUCAUAGGUUUGACACUGCAAACUGUCUUGUCUCUUAAAUUAUCGGAAGGAUCUAAACAUGCAAAAAUUAUGGGCAUACAUAAUUGAGACAUGGUUAUAAUAAAUUCUCACAUGAAGGCAUCCUCUAUGGAAAGGUGCAUGGAAAUGACUCCAUGUAUUUUCAGAUGCUUUCUGAGCACAUCGGUUUGAACAAGGUGCACAGCUAAGCAAGCUCCAGUCAGUCCAGCCCUUUGACGUGAUUCUUGGGACGUGGGGCUUGAGUGACCCGUGUCCUGGUGACUUCCCUGCUUCAGAUCAGGCGGUGCCCAGAGGUGUUCUUUCCUUGGAAGACCCGCUGAUUAAAGUUGAUGGCUGAUCAUCGACACUAGUUUUUAUUUUAUGACCACGUCACUUUUGGUACGGAUGCGAAGACCUGCCAAGAACUGAGUUCCAUUUGUCUGAAACAGCAUCUCUUCUCAACAGUGGACUUGUGUGACCAAGGAGGCAAGUCACUACCUCUUUAAAAAAGAAAAGUCAGAACAAAACUGAUCUUAAACUGGGUCUUAUUCUAACCAUACGUGAUAUUUAUCCGUGGAUACACAGGCUUCAGGAGAAAAAAAUCUAAACAGAAUUUUUUUUUUUACUUUGAGAAUUACUAGCUACUUCUGUUAAUCCCUUAUCUUUCAGCUUUAUUGGUAUCUAAUGAUUAAAUAAAAUUAUAUUUAAAAUAGACAGUAAUGAUUUGAUAUAUAUGUGCAUUGGGAAAGGAUUUCUGCAAUCCAAUUAAUUAUUAUGUCCGUUACCUUACGUAUUUACCUUUUUUUUGGGGUGAGAACACAUAAGUUGCAUUUUCUUAGCAAAUUUGUGCGGUGUUGUCCGUGACAGCCGCCCUGCUGUGCUUGAGGUCCUCAGACCUCAUUCAUCUUGUCACUGAAAGUUUACAUCCUCUCACCAAGCCACUCCCUGGUCCCCCCACCCCCCUGCCUCUGGGAGUCACCAUUUUUUUCUCUGUUUCUACAAGUUGUACGUCUUUUUUUUAGAUUCCACAGUAAAUUAUACCAUGUGGUCUUUUUUCUCUGUCCGGCUUAUUCCACCUGCAUGAUCCCUCCAGGCUCCUCCAUGUGGUUGGGGAGGACAGGACUCCCUCUUUUUGUUUUAAGGCUCAAUAAUAAUCCCUCUUUUUUCUAAGGCUGAAGAAUAUGCACUUUAUCCAUCCGUCUGUCCACAGACGCUCAGGUUUUUCCACCCCUUGGCAACUGUGACUAGAGCCGCAGUGAACACAGUGUAGCUCCCUCUUUGCUGCCAUGAUUCUGUCUCCAGAAGCAGGAUGGCUGAACUGCAGGGUAGGUCUAGUCCUAAUAUUUUGAGGCGUCUCCAUACUGUUUUCCGUAGUGGCUGUGCCGGUUUUCAUUCCGUCAUCUGUGCCCAAGGGUUCCCUCUUCUCCACUUUUCUUCCCUUCUCUUGCCAGCUUUUGCUAGUCCUUGUCUUUGGGCAAUAGACAUCCUAACAGAUGAGAGGUGACACUGUGGUUUGGAUUUGUUUCCCUGUUGAGUAGAAUGUUGGGCACCUCUUCACGUACCUGUUGGCCAUUUGUGUGUCUUCUUUGGAAAAAUGUCUAAGUCCUUUUGCCUUUUUUUGAAUUGGAUCAUUUUUACUUUUGCUGUGGAGUGUAUGCGUUCUUUCUAUAUUUUGGAUAGUCACCCCUUAUCAGAUGUAGGAUUUAUAGAUAUUUUUUUUCCCAUUCUGCAAAUUGCCUUUUCAUUUUGUUGAUGAUGUCUUCUGCUGUGCCGCAGCUCUUUAGUUU
Molecule: long non-coding RNA, 4738 nt
Filed under: Sus scrofa (pig)
Lineage: Eukaryota; Metazoa; Chordata; Mammalia; Artiodactyla; Suidae
Description: lncRNA (ENSSSCG00000042534.2)
Source: RNAcentral